Molecule: transfer RNA, 65 nt
Filed under: Maoricolpus roseus
Lineage: Eukaryota; Metazoa; Mollusca; Gastropoda; Turritellidae
Description: tRNA-Val
Source: RNAcentral
AAGCAGCUUAGUUAUUAAGCAUGUUCUCAGUGUAAGUGAGAUGCAUUAAAGUUUAUGCUAUGCUC